RNAcentral lists this long non-coding RNA (26486 nucleotides) under Triticum aestivum (bread wheat). RNAcentral describes it as "long non-coding RNA (TAES_LNC024509)". The stretch from base 822 to 956 matches the Rfam family "MIR1120/MIR1122 microRNA precursor family". Lineage: Eukaryota; Viridiplantae; Streptophyta; Magnoliopsida; Poales; Poaceae. The record is from RNAcentral.
CCGAGCCCCCGAUUCGGUCCAGGCAAAAUUGUCCGCCGCCGUCCAGAAUGCGCAAUUUUACAGGACUGAAUUGGUCUCCGCGUCCGGACGCCGGCGGGCUGCCUGGCCCCAGCCGUGUACAUAGGGCGAAAUGAGUAAAGUAACCGCCCCGAAAAGGGCUAGGAGAUUAGAUUCUUGUUAUGUAUAGCUAGAUUCCAUCUUCCAAGUUUGCGGAGCUGUGGAUCUUUUCUUCUGCCAAUUAAAUUUGUUGAUGAGUUAGGCGUUCCGGGUGCAAAAUUUCGGUCCCCUUUGCUCCUUCUCUUUCCCCGUGUUGCUCAGGCACAUAUACUAGUAGUACAAAUUUAGAAAGGCUUCAAUCAACUUCCCCCGCAGAGCGUACAAAUUUAGGAAGGAUUUUACAUCGGCCGAGGAUUUCUGAAACCAUAUGCAUCCUGGCAAGUGGCAGGAAAUUUAGGCUCCGACAGUACAGCCGCAGCCUUCCCUUGAUUGGAUCUACUAGUGUAGUACCGUUGUUAUUGCUACAACUGCUGACACUGAAACCCAUGCAGUAGGGCAGUGGAAGAAUGUUCUGGAAUGCUAGUAAAUUAGGUGAAAAUGAACAGAUUUGAACCUUCUUUUAGAAACUUACGAUACAAAAUACUACAGUGCUUCCGUUUACUCCCUCCGUCCCAUAAUGUAAGACGUCUUUUGACACAACACUAGUGUCAGAAAACGUCUUACAUUAUGGGACAGAGGGAGUAUAUUUUUAGAAAUUUCAAUACAAACUACAUACGGAUGUAUAUAAACAUACUUUAGAGGAUAUAUUCAUUCAUUUUGCUCCGUAUGUACUCCCUCCGUUUCAAAAUUCUUGUCUUAGAUUUGUCUAGAUACAGAUGUAUCUAAUACUAAAACGUGACUUGAUACAUCCGUAUUUAGACAAAUUUAAGACAAGAAUUUUGGGACAGAGGGAGUAGUUUCUUAUUGGAAUCACUAAAAAGACUUAUAUUUAGGAACGAAGGGAGUAAUUUGGAUAAGUUUUUUUCCACAUACGUACCCUUUUGCGCGAUGCCCUGAAUAGGGCGCCAUGCUAGAUUAGCAUGACGCCCCGGGCGAGGCCAUCGUGCUUUAUCUAGAUCGGCGCCUCGGUCCAGACGCUAUGAAAAAUGAUUUUUGUGAAAUAUUUUAAUAUUGAAUUCAUUUUGUGCUGAAGUUUCUGAAAAGGGUUAAAUCUGUCUACUUUUACGUUAAUUGGUAGCACGGUGAGUAUAAUUUCUCGUAAACAGAUUGACUGCUCGAAAAAUUAGAUGGCCGAGAGGCGAAAAUUUCGGACAAAUUUAGUGUUUUGACCCUUUUGUGAAAGUUUAGCCAAAUCUGACCCUGGUUCGAAUUUUUUUUGAGAUCCGACUCUUUUCCAAUCGUCGGGGUCGACGGAAAUUUAGUGUUUUGACCCUUUUGUGAAAGUUGAGCCAGAUCUGACCCUGGCUCAAUUUUUUUUCGAGAUCCGACUCUUUUCCAAUCAUCGGGGUCGACGGCGGUAGGGUAUAACUGCCUACCGCUGAGGCCCUUGGCGGUAGGGUCGCACGCCCUACCCUAAAAAAAACUAAGUAUCAAAUAUAGCGCUCGUACCCGCCUACCGCUGGACACCUCGACGAUAGGGUUGUACAGGCUACUAUUUUUUUAGAGGAAACACAGACUACUAUUUGGCAGUAGGGCUGCACUGCGCUGACGUGGAUGAGUUGCGUACCGCUAGGAGCCUUGACGGUAGGCUGGUAUACCCUAUCGCGAUCGACCUUGGCGGUAGGAAAAUGAUCAGAUCCCAAAUGUUUUUCGAACCAGGGUCAAAUCUAACUUAACUUUUUUGAAAGGGUCAGAACACAAAAUUUGGCCAAAAUUCCAUUGCACGCACGCGUGGGGCCCCCAUUGUGGACGAAAGGAAAUGGCUCAUCACAUUCCUCCGGCAGGAGCAUGACUAGUCUACACUCUUUCGCAGCUGGACAGGGACCGAGAGCUCAUUUCCCCGGACGCAUCGCACGCCAUCUUGACCUGGCUGACGGCGAGCGCGCGCGCGUACGUGCACGAGCGGGAGAGCGAGAAGUUUUCAACGCAGGGACAGCAGCAGCCGAUGACGACGAGAGCUGGGGUCUAGUCUACGUUAAGGGGAAAGAAAAGUUUCAGACGCAGAAGCAAGCUGCCUUCCUGCCUACCAACGCUGUACAGCGACCCGACGUCCGGGUAGACUGCACCUCUUCAUUAUUCUAGCGUGCGUGAGCGUACGCAAUCUGCAGAAAGGCCAGUAGAAAAACCAUAUUCGGUCGGUGUCGCUGGGAAAGGCGGAGGCCGCCUUUGGACAGGUGUGGCGCCGAUAGACUCUACCUGUAACGCACGGCCGGGCCAUCGAUUAUACGCGCCCCCGCACGCACGCACGCACGCUCAUUCAUUCGUCCAUGCGCACCGAAAGAGGGACGAGGAUUGGAUCGGCAGCAACAGCGUUUGCAGUAGUACAACAAGAAUCAAACGGCACUGCUCCGAUUGAUUAGGUCAGCAUUAUUGCCUCCUCGGGAGCUUUUAGCAUUCGGCUUAUGUAACAGGCACUGUAACUGUAGUACCACUGCUCUUUUGCUUAGGUCCGCGGUUUCAGCUCUUCUCUGCUGUACAUUGCGAGUGUUCCUGUUAACAAGAUCGUUGGCUUUUAGCCACCAAACUUUACGUUUAUGGUGCUGCAGAUCUGAGCUAGUUUCGCUUGCAAGUGACACAAGGUAGUAACACAAUUAGGCUUGGUUUUCGAUCGUUAAGCUACUUUGGCCGAGGGACAACACAGUGAGUGGGUCAUAAAUCCUGAUCCGUGCGCUGAAUGGAACCAAAAACCAACUGAAAGGUCGUGAUUCCGGAUUUCCCGGGAAUAAUGAAUGGCGAGUCGCCUCCCUGGCCCAUGAUCGUACACGGGACGCUGCGGCGAUGGGCCGACCCGCUUUCGACGUGCCGUGUAACCGCUGGCCAGCGCCCGUCGCGUCCUGCAUCUGUACAGAAAUUAAAAGCCGAACAGCAGACGCCGUACGAUUUUGUUCGCGUCAUAUCCUCCUUUCUUGCAUCCAUUUGUCCACAGUCCAGCACUUGGAUGUGUCUCAGAGACGCAGCAUGACUGGUCACACUCACUCAACUUUCGUGCAACCCACCCUCCCCCCGAAAAGCUUUCCUCAAUGCGCUUGGUUAACAGAACACCCAUGGGGUACUGCCAGUACGUACUCAGGUUCGUCGUGACCUAAAUAAAUAUGACAAGGAAGGAAGGAAGGAAGGCCUUGGGCUCAUGACAUGAGAGGAACAAAUUCCUGAAAGCAAUCGUGGUAGGUCAGGGGCCAGGCGCAGGCCCAUGUACUACUCUAGUACUACUUCAGGAGGCUUGCUCCGGUGCACCCCCUAACUCAAUUUCCUAGGGGUAUUCUUGACCCCCGUCAUCUAUUUUUUCUCCGGCCCGCUGCUGCCCAUAUCCAAGCCCCGUAGCCCAUAUCCAAGCCCCGUAUAACCCGUAUGACCCAUACGUAUGUAUAUGGUGACAUCCCAAAAAAAAGGAUGACACGACCCCACGACCAGGUAGGACCUGCCGACGGCCGAUCCAUCAAUCACGCAGCUCCUCCAUCAUUCUGGUGAGGUUCUGUAGGAAUAUCGGCGGCAGCGAUCUUAUCGCCGGCGAUCUCGUUCGAGAGCGCGCACGGCACCGUCGUCAACCUCCAGCGCUCGCAGGUACCGCAUCCCGUUUCCCCACGUUUGUCUCGCUCGCGGCAGCAUCAAACGAACUGCCGCUGUUUUCGUCGUAGUGGUUAACCUAGCGGGGCGGGCAACCUAGCUUUCUGGCGGUCCAGGCCAUCGCAUAUCUUGUUCUGGUAGUGCUGCUCGUCGUGAUAUACACAGUGAUCACGCGGGCUAAAGUGGGUUUCUUCUUUCUAGGGUUAACCUAGCGUCGGUUGCCAUCGGUUGUGUGCACGACGGCUCCGUUAUUUGAUGCGGCGGCUUACCUAGGUAUCCGGCGAUCCAAAGUAAUCACGAUUGGUGCCGUGGGCUAGGAAUCUGGCGGCGCAUGUUAUCACGGGUAGCGCUGCUUCUCGCGAUCCAAAGUGAUCACGUACUGGAUUCGUGGGACGUACCUUAACGCCGCUCGGUGUGGAGAGGGGGGAGGAUCCAUGGGCGAUCAGAGGUCGUUGGCGUCGGUUGUGUGCAUGAUCUGAACGCCCUCGGUUGGGGCGCUCUCCGGUUGGUGUAGUUUAUUUAACAUCCGUGAUCGUGCGCUAGGUGUUGUAUAUGUCAGCAUUGAUAAUGUUUGCACAUGUGAUGAUACAUAUUAAUUGUUGUAGGAAAUGGCGGACGAUGAGUUAACUGAUAUGAUGUAUGCCAUGGAGUUUGGAGAACUGAUGAAAGACCGGAUAGAAGAUUGGUCAGAUGAUGAAAAUUCAGAUCGUGAAGAUAGGUCAGAGAAUGGGAACGUAUUGGAAGAUCUUAAUGUGAGUGGCAUUAUCAUGUUGUAAUUUUUUGGUGGCAUCCUACAAUAUUACAUUUUGAAAAUUUAUAGAUGGAUGAACAUGAUCAUGGUCAGGAAAACAAUGAGCAUGAUGAUGGUGAGGAAAACAACUCGGAGAUCUCGAAUGAAGAUUACAUUAGUCAGGUAUGGAAGUGGAAUUUUUUGUUGGCAUGCAUGCAAAUUGAAUUAAUCCUGGAAUAUUAUAUGAUAAGUACUUAUGUAUUUGUGUUAUAUUUUUCAGCUCAUUUCCGAAUGUCAUAAUGCGUACGACUAUUACGGUGAAUCCGACGCGGAGACAGGCCUUGAUGUCGAAUCAUUAGCUGCACCUGAUUCUGGGGAGUCGCAAUCGUCGGUCAUCAUGAGUGAGGUAUGUAUGUAAUCAAUGUUGUAUGGAAGUAAUGUUAUACCAUAGAAAACUGUUUUCAUGGCUAUGUUAUGAUUGUGUAGGUGACAGAAGUUGAGGGGAAAAAGAAUGUCCAAGAUACUGCUAGUGCAAAUGAUAAGAGGGAUAUGUUCAUGCAGAUAAUACAAAUGACUUUUACGUCUCAUGAGGCUGCGUAUGAUUUCUACAACAGCUAUGCUAGAGAUAAUGGUUUCAGCAUUAGAAAGAAUAGGGUCAGGUAUAGCAAAACCGAGUCACGUCAUAUGCGUUAUAGGCGGUUUGUUUGUUCCAGACAAGGAAAACGUGACAGCAGGUUGCUAACCGAGGAAGGACACAACCGUAGGCUCAGACCCGAGACACGCUGCCACUGCGAAGCGCACCUGACCGUGAAGUUUGACCAAAAGCGUGGGGUUUGGUAUGUUGAUAGUUUUGAGGACAAGCAUAGCCAUAUCUUGGCAGGACCGGACGAGGUACCUUUUCUUUGGUUCCACAGAAAAAUCAAAGAGUACCAGAGAGCUGAGAUACUGUCCAUGGGAGCUGCAGGGAUUAGAAUUCACGACAUGAUGGAUUCCUUCAUCAACAAACAUGUAUGGUAUGGCGGUGUUGGUUUUACCAGGCGUGAAAUAUACAACCUUUGCGCCAGGGAGAAGAGGAAGCUGCUUUCAAAAGGUGAUGCUGCCAAAGUCAUAGGCAUCAUGGUCAGUAGGAAAUAGAGGGAUCCUAGCUUCUUUUUCGAGUACAAGCUAGACAAGGAAGGACAUAUGAAUAGGAUGUUCUGGUGUAACUCCCAGUCUCGUCAUGACUGUGAGGACUUCGGCGACGUGCUUGUAUUUGACAGCACGUACAAGAUGAACCGGUAUGGUAUGCCAUUCAUACCCUUUGUUGGUCUUAACAAUCACCGGAAGACCACUGUUUUUGCUUGUGCCAUACUUUCGGACGAGACCGAAGAGACAUAUGUGUGGCUGCUGGAGACUUUUUUGAGGCCCAUGUGUCAAAAGAUGCCGAAGAGUGUUAUCACGGACGCCGACGCUGCGAUGAUCAAGGCAAUUCGCCAAGUCUUGCCAGACGUGUGGCACCGUAUAUGUACGUGGCAUAUAGAAAAAAUAUGAAGAUUCACCCCAGUCACAAGUCCUUGAAGGAGUUCCGAACUCUUCUGUACUACAGCACGUCCAUGGCCACGUUUGAGGAGAGAUGGCACGCGUUUUCCAAAAGAUGGCAGUCGGAAAAAACAGUAACAUGGUUGAGACGGAUGUAUAAGAAGAGGAGACUGUGGGCCGCGGCUUAUCUGACAGAGGGUUUUUGGCUUGGCAUGAAAAGCAACCAGAGGAGUGAAAGUCUAAACUCAUGCCUUCACCUCCACCUAGACGGUGAAAUGACCCUGGUGGAUAUGAUUUUGCACUAUGAGAACGCCAUUGUACGUAUCUGUGAGAAUGAGGCACGAGAUGAUUGUUGGGGAUCGUUGCAGAAUUUUAAAAUUUUGUACACAUCACCAAGAUCCAUCUAUGGAGUUUACUAGCAAUGAGGGGAAAGGAGUGCAUCUACAUACCCUUGUAGAUCGCGAGCGGAAGCGUUCAAGUGAACGGGGUUGAUGGAGUCGUACUCGUCGUGAUCCAAAUCACCGAUGACCGAGUGCCGAACGGACGGCACCUCCGCGUUCAACACACGUACGGAGCAGCGACGUCUCCUCCUUCUUGAUCCAGCAAGGGGGAAGGAGAGGUUGAUGGAGAUCCAGCAGCACGACGGCGUGGUGGUGGAAGUAGCGGGGAUCCCGGCAGGGCUUCGCCAAGCGCAAGUGGGAGAGAGAGGUGUCACGGGAGGGAGAGGGAGGUGCCAGGGGCUAGGGUACAGCAGCCCUCCCUCCCCUGGGGGGCGUCGGCCCCUGGGAUCCCAUCUACAGGGGGGACGGCGGCCAAGGGGGGGAAACUUCCCCCCCAAGUCAGGUGGGGCGCCCCCACCCCAGGGUUUCCAACCCUAGGCGUAGGGGGAGGCCCAUGGGGGGCGCACCAGCCCACCAGGGGCUGGUUCCCCUCCCACUUCAGCCCAUGGGGCCCUCCGGGAUAGGUGGCCCCACCCGGUGGACCCCCGGGACCCUUCCGGUGGUCCCGGUACAAUACCGAUAACCCCAAAAACUUUCCCGGUGGCCGAAACUGGACUUCCUAUAUAUAAUUCUUCACCUCCGGACCAUUCCAAAACUCCUCGUGACGUCCGGGAUCUCAUCCGGGACUCCGAACAACUUUCGGGUUUCUGCAUACUAAUAUCUCUACAACCCUAGCGUCACCGAACCUUAAGUGUGUAGACCCUACGGGUUCGGGAGACAUGCAGACAUGACCGAGACGCCUCUCCGGUCAAUAACCAACAGCGGGAUCUGGAUACCCAUGUUGGCUCCUACAUGUUCCACGAUGAUCUCAUCGGAUGAACCACGAUAUCGAGGAUUCAAUCAAUCCCGUAUACAAUUCCCUUUGUCAAUCGGUACGUUACUUGCCCGAGAUUCGAUCGUCGGUAUCCCAAUACCUUGUUCAAUCUCGUUACCGGCAAGUCACUUUACUCGUACCGUAAUGCAUGAUCCCGUGACUAACUCCUUAGUCACAUUGAGCUCAUUAUGAUGAUGCAUUACCGAGUGGGCCCAGAGAUACCUCUCCGUCAUACGGAGUGACAAAUCCCAGUCUCGAUCCGUGCCAACCCAACAGACACUUUCGGAGAUACCCGUAGUGCACCUUUAUAGUCACCCAGUUACGUUGUGACGUUUGGCACACCCAAAGCACUCCUACGGCAUCCGGGAGUUGCACGAUCUCAUGGUCUAAGGAAAUGAUACUUGACAUUGAAAAAGCUCUAGCAAACGAACUACACGAUCUUUGUGCUAUGCUUAGGAUUGGGUCUUGUCCAUCACAUCAUUCUCCUAAUGAUGUGAUCCCGUUAUCAAUGACAUCCAAUGUCCAUAGUCAGGAAACCAUGACUAUCUGUUGAUCAACAAGCUAGUCAACUAGAGGCUCACUAGGGACAUGUUGUGGUCUAUGUAUUCACACAUGUAUUACGAUUUCCGGAUAACACAAUUAUAGCAUGAAUAAUAGACAAUUAUCAUGAACAAGGAAAUAUAAUAAUAACCAUUUUAUUAUUGCCUCUAGGGCAUAUUUCCAACAGUCUCCCACUUGCACUAGAGUCAAUAAUCUAGUUACAUUGUGAUGAAUCGAACACCCAUAAAGUUUUGGUGUUGAUCAUGUUUUGCUCUAGGGAGAGGUUUAGUCAACGGAUCUGCUACAUUCAGGUCCGUAUGUACUUUACAAAUAUCUAUGUCUCCAUUCUGAACACUUUCACGAAUGGAGUUGAAGCGACGCUUGAUAUGCCUGGUCUUCCAGUGAAACCUGGGCUCCUUGGCAAGGGCAAUAGCUCCAGUGUUGUCACAGAAGAGAGUCAUCGGGCCCGACGCAUUGGGAAUCACCCCUAGGUCGGUAAUGAACUCCUUCAUUCAGAUUGCUUCUUGCGCUGCCUCUGAGGCUGCCAUGUAUUCCGCUUCACAUGUAGAUCCCGCCACGACGCUUUUCUUGCAACUGCACCAGCUUACUGCCCCUCCAUUCAAAAUAUACACGUAUCCGGUUUGUGACUUCGAGUCAUCCAGAUCUGUGUCGAAGCUAGCGUCGACGUAACCCUUUACGACGAGCUCUUCGUCACCUCCAUAAACGAGAAACAUAUCCUUAGUCCUCUUCAGGUACUUCAGGAUAUUCUUGACCGCUGUCCAGUGUUCCAUGCCGGGAUUACUUUGGUACCUUCCUACCAAACUUACGGCAAGGUUUACAUCAGGUCUGGUACAUAGCAUGGCAUACAUAAUAGACCCUAUGGCCGAGGCAUAGGGGAUGACACUCAUCUUUUCUCUAUCUUCUGCCGUGGUCAGGCAUUGAGACGUGCUCAAUUGCACACCUUGCAAUACAGGCAAGAACCCCUUCUUGGACUGAUCCAUAUUGAACUUCUUCAAUAUCUUGUCAAGGUACGUACUCUGUGAAAGACCAAUGAGGCGUCUUGAUCUAUCUCUAUAGAUCUUGAUGCCUAAUAUAUAAGCAGCUUCUCCAAGGUCCUUCAUUGAAAAACACUUAUUCAAGUAGGCCUUUAUACUUUCCAAGAAUUCUAUAUCAUUUCCCAUCAAUAGUAUGUCAUCCACAUAUAAUAUGAGAAAUGCUACAGAGCUCCCACUCACUUUCUUGUAAACGCAGGCUUCUCCAUAAGUCUGUGUAAACCCAAACGCUUUGAUCAUCUCAUCAAAACGAAUGUUCCAACUCCGAGAUGCUUGCACCAGCCCAUAGAUGGAGCGCUGGAGCUUGCAUACCUUGUUAGCAUUCUUAGGAUCGACAAAACCUUCCGGCUGCAUCAUAUACAAUUCUUCCUUAAGAAAGCCGUUAAGGAAUGCCGUUUUGACGUCCAUUUGCCAUAUCUCAUAAUCAUAGAAUGUGGCAAUUGCUAACAUGAUUCGGACGGACUUCAGCUUCGCUACGGGUGAGAAAGUCUCAUCGUAGUCAACCCCUUGAACUUGUCGAUAACCCUUAGCGACAAGUCAAGCCUUAUAGAUGGUCACAUUACCAUCCGCGUCUGUCUUCUUCUUAAAGAUCCAUUUAUUUUCUAUGGCUCGACGAUCAUCGGGCAAGUCAGUCAAAGUCCAUACUUCGUUUUCAUACAUGGAUCCUAUCUCGGAUUUCAUGGCUUCUAGCCAUUUGUCGGAAUCCGGGCCCGCCAUCGCUUCUUCAUAGUUCUAAGGUUCACCGUUGUCUAACAACAUGAUUUCCAUGACAGGGUUGCCGUACCACUCUGGUGCGGAACGUGUCCUUGUGGACCUUAGAAGUUCAGCAGUAACUUGAUCCGAAGCUUCAUGAUCAUCAUCAUUAACUUCCUCCCCAGUCGGUGUAGGCACCACAGGAACAUCUUCCCGCGCUGCGCUACUUUCCGGUUUGGAAGGGGCGACUAUCACCUCAUCAAGUUCCACUUUCCUCCCACUUAAUUCUUUCGAGAGAAACUCUUUCUCCAGAAAGGACCCGUUCUUGGCAACAAAGAUCUUGCCUUCGGAUCUGAGGUAGAAGGUAUACCCAAUGGUUUCCUUAGGGUAUCCUAUGAAGACACAUUUUUCCGACUUGGGUUCGAGCUUUUCAGGUUGAAGUUUCUUGACAUAAGCAUCACAUCCCCAAACUUUUAGAAACGACAGCUUAGGUUUCUUCCCAAACCAUAAUUCAUACGGUGUCGUCUCAACGGAUUUCGACGGAGCCCUAUUUAAAGUGAAUGCGGCAGUCUCUAAAGCAUAGCCCCAAAAUGAGAGCGGUAGAUCGGUAAGAGACAUCAUAGAUCGCACCAUAUCCAAUAGAGUGCAAUUACGACGUUCGGACACACCAUUUCUCUGAGGUGUUCCAGGCGGCGUGAGUUGUGAAAUGAUUCCACAUUUCCUUAAGUGAGUACCAAAUUCGUGACUUAAAUAUUCUCCUCCACGAUCUGAUCGUAAGAACUUUAUUUUUCUGUCACGUUGAUUCUCAACCUCACUCUGAAAUUCCUUGAACUUUUCAAAGGUCUCAGACUUGUGUUUCAUUAGGUAGACAUACCCAUAUCUACUUAAGUCAUCAGUGAGAGUGAGAACAUAACGAUAGCCACCGCGAGCCUCAACACUCAUUGGACCGCACACAUCGGUAUGUAUGAUUUCCAAUAAGUUGGUUGCUCGCUCCAUUGUUCCGGAGAACGAAGUCUUGGUCAUCUUACCCAUGAGGCAUGGUUCGCACGUGUCAAAUGAUUCGUAAUCAAGAGACUCCAAAAGUCCAUCUGCAUGGAGCUUCUUCAUGCGCUUGACACCAAUGUGACCAAGGCGGCAGUGCCACAAGUAUGUGGGACUAUCGUUAUCAACUUUACAUCUUUUGGUAUUCACACUAUGAUAUGUGUAACAUCACGUUCGAGAUUCAUCAAGAAUAAACCAUUGACCAGCGGGGCAUGACCAUAAAACAUAUCUCUCAUAUAAAUAGAACAACCAUUAUUCUCGGAUUUAAAUGAGUAGCCAUCUCGAAUUAAACGAUAUCCUGAUAGAAUGUUCAUGCUCAAAGUUGGCACUAAAUGACAAUUAUUGAGGUUUAAAACUAAUCCCGUAGGUAAAGCAGAGGUAGCGUGCCGACGGCGAUCACAUCGACCUUGGAACCAUUCCCGACGCGCAUCGUCACCUCGUCCUUCGCCAGUCUCCGCUUAUUCCGCAGCUCCUGUUUUGAGUUACAAAUAUGAGCAACCGCACCGGUAUCAAAUACCCAGGAGCUACUACGAGUACUGGUAAGGUACACAUCAAUUACAUGUAUAUCACAUAUACCUUUGGUGUUGCCGGCCUUCUUGUCCGCUAAGUAUUUGGGGCAGUUCUGCUUCCAGUGACCACUUCCCUUGCAAUAAAAGCACUCAGUCUCAGGCUUGGGUCCAUUCUUUGACUUCUUCUCGGCAACGGGCUUACCGGGCGCGGCAACUCCCUUGCCGUCCUUCUUGAAGUUCUUCUUGCCCUUGCCUUUCUUGAACUUAGUGGUUUUAUUCACCAUCAACACUUGAUGUUCCUUUUUGAUCUCCACCUCCGCUGAUUUCAGCAUUGAAUAUACCUCAGGAAUGGUCUUUUCCAUCCCCUGCAUAUUGAAGUUCAUCACAAAGCUCUUGUAGCUUAGUGGAAGCGACUGAAGGAUUCUGUCAAUGACCGCGUCAUCCGGGAGAUUAACUCCCAGCUGAGACAAGCGGUUGUGUAACCCAGACAUUCUGAGUAUGUGCUCACUGACAGAACUAUUUUCCUCCAUUUUACAACUGAAGAACUUGUCGGAGACUUCAUAUCUCUCGACCCGGGCAUGAGCUUGGAAAACCAUUUUCAGCUCUUCGAACAUCUCAUAUGCUCCAUGUUUCUCAAAACGCUUUUAAAGCCCCGGUUCUAAGCUAUAAAGCAUGCCGCACUGAACGAGGGAGUAAUCAUCAGCACGUGAUUGCCAAGCGUUCAUAACUUCUUGGUUCUCUGGGAUGGGUGCUUCACCUAGCGGUGCUUCUAGGACAUAAUCUUUCUUGGCAGCUAUGAGGAUGAUCCUCAGGUUCCGGACCCAGUCCGUAUAGUUGCUGCCAUCAUCUUUCAGCUUGGUUUUCUCUAGGAACGCGUUGAAGUUGAGGGCAACGUGGGCCAUUUGAUCUACAAGACAUAUUGUAAAGAUUUUAGACUAAGUUCAUGAUAAUUAAGUUCAUCUAAUCAAAUUAUUCAAUGAACUCCCACUCAGAUAGACACCCCUCUAGUCAUCUAAGUGAAACAUGAUCGGAGUUAACUAGGCCGUGUCCGAUCAUCACGUGAGACGGACUAGUCAAGAUCGGUGAACAUCUCCAUGUUGAUCGUAUCAUCUAUACGACUCAUGCUCGACCUUUCGGUCUUUCGUGUUCCGAGGCCAUGUCUGUACAUGCUAGGCUCGUCAAGUCAACCUAAGUGUAUUGCUUUUGUUCCGAGGCCAUGUCUGUACAUGCUAGGCUCGUCAAGUCAACCUAAGUUUAUUGCUUGUGUUCCGAGGCCAUGUCUGUACAUGCUAGGCUCGUCAACACCCGUUGUAUGCGAACGUUAGAAUCUAUCACACCCGAUCAUCACGUGGUGCUUCGAAACAACGAACCUUCGCAGCGGUGCACAGUUAGGGGGAACACUUUCUUGAAAUUAUUAUAAGGGAUCAUCUUACUUACUACCGUCGUUCUAAGCAAAUAAGAUGCAAAACAUGAUAAACAUCACAUGUAAUCAAAUAGUGACAUGAUAUGGCCAAUAUCAUUCUGCUCCUUUGAUCUCCAUCUUCGGGGCGCCAUGAUCAUCUUCGUCACCGGCAUGACACCAUGAUCUCCAUCAUCAUGAUGUCCAUCAUUGUGUCUUCAUGAAGUUGUCACGCCAACGAUUACUUCUACUUCUAUGGCUAAUGCGUUUAGCAAUAAAGUAAAGUAAUUUACAUGGCGUUAUUCAAUGACACGCAGGUCAUACAAAAAAUAAAGACAACUCCUAUGGCUCCUGCCGGUUGUCAUACUCAUCGACAUGCAAGUCGUGAUUCCUAUUACAAGAAUAUGAUCAAUCUCAUACAUCACAUAUAUCAUUCAUCACAUCUUCUGGCCAUAUCACAUCACAAGGCACAUGCUGCAAAAACAAGUUAGACGUCCUCUAAUUGUUGUUGCAAGUUUUUACGUGGCUUCUAUAGGUUUCUAGCAAGAACGUUUCUUACCUACGUAAAACCACAACGUGAUAUGCCAAUUUCUAUUUACCCUUCAUAAGGACCCUUUUCAUCAAAUCCGUUCCGACUAAAGUGGGAGAGACAGACACCCGCUAGCCACCUUAUGCAACUAGUGCAUGUCUGUCGGUGGAACCUGUCUCACGUAAGCGUAUGUGUAAGGUCGGUCCGGGCCGCUUCAUCCCACAAUACCGCUGAAACAAGAUAAGACUAGUAGUGGCAAGAAAAAUUGACAACAUCUACGCCCACAACUGCUUUGUGUUCUACUCGUGCAUAGUAACUACGCAUAGGCCUGGCUCAUGAUGCCACUGUUGGGGAUCGUUGCAGAAUUUUAAAAUUUUCUACGCAUCACCAAGAUCCAUCUAUGGAGUUUACAAGCAACGAGGGGAAAGGAGUGCAUCUACAUACCCUUGUAGAUCGCGAGCGGAAGCGUUCAAGUGAACGGGGUUGAUGGAGUCGUACUCGUCGUGAUCCAAAUCACCGAUGACCGAGUGCCGAACGGACGGCACCUCCGCGUUCAACACACGUACGGAGCAGCGAUGUCUCCUCCUUCUUGAUCCAGCAAGGGGGAAGGAGAGGUUGAUGGAGAUCCAGCAGCACGACGGCGUGGUGGUGGAAGUAGCGGGGAUCCUGGCAGGGCUUCGCCAAGCGCAAGCGGGAGAGAGAGGUGUCACGGGCGGGAGAGGGAGGCACCAGGGGCUAGAGUACAGCAGCCCUCCCUCCCCCUUUAUAUAGGCCCCCUGGGGGGGGCGCCGGCCCCUGGGAUCCCAUCUACAGGGGGCGGCGGCCAAGGGGGGGGAACUCCCUCCCCCCAAGUCAGGUGGGGCACCCCCACCCCCAGGGUUUCCAACCCUAGGCGCAGGGGGAGGCCCAUGGGGGGCGCACCAGCCCACCAGGGGCUGGUUCCCCUCCCACUUCAGCCCAUGGGGCCCUCCGGGAUAGGUGGCCCCACCCGGUGGACCCCCGGGACCCUUCCGGUGGUCCCGGUACAAUACCGAUAACCCCCGAAACUUUCCCGGUGGCCGAAACUGGACUUCCUAUAUAUAAUUCUUCACCUCCGGACCAUUCCGGAACUCCUCGUGACGUCCGGGAUCUCAUCCGGGACCCCCAACAACUUUCGGGUUUCCGCAUACUAAUAUCUCUACAACCCUAGCGUCACCGAACCUUAAGUGUGUAGACCCUACGGGUUCGGGAGACAUGCAGACAUGACCGAGACGCCUCUCCGGUCAAUAACCAACAGCGGGAUCUGGAUACCCAUGUUGGCUCCUACAUGUUCCACGAUGAUCUCAUCGGAUGAACCAUGAUGUCGAGGAUUCAAUCAAUCCCGUAUACAAUUCCCUUUGUCAAUCGGUACGUUACUUGCCCGAGAUUCGAUCGUCGGUAUCCCAAUACCUUGUUCAAUCUCGUUACCGGCAAGUCACUUUACUCGUACCAUAAUGCAUGAUCCCGUGACUAACUCCUUAGUCACAUUGAGCUCAUUAUGAUGAUGCAUUACCGAGUGGGCCCAGAGAUACCUCUCCGUCAUACGGAGUGACAAAUCCCAGUCUUGAUCCGUGCCAACCCAACAGACACUUUCGGAGAUACCCGUAGUGCACCUUUAUAGUCACCCAGUUACGUUGUGACGUUUGGCAUACCCAAAGCACUCCUACGGCAUCCGGGAGUUGCACGAUCUCAUGGUCUAAGGAAAUGAUACUUGACAUUGAAAAAGCUCUAGCAAACGAACUACACGAUCUUUGUGCUAUGCUUAGGAUUGGGUCUUGUCCAUCACAUCAUUCUCCUAAUGAUGUGAUCCCGUUAUCAAUGACAUCCAAUGUCCAUAGUCAGGAAACCAUGACUAUCCGUUGAUCAAUGAGCUAGUCAACUAGAGGCUCACUAGGGACAUGUUGUGGUCUAUGUAUUCACACAUGUAUUACGAUUUCCGGAUAACACAAUUAUAGCAUGAAUAAUAGACAAUUAUCAUGAACAAGGAAAUAUAAUAAUAACCAUUUUAUUAUUGCCUCUAGGGCAUAUUGCCAACAAUGAUUGCACGGCCUCACAGAGUUUACCAGUGCCAGUUAGUAGCUCGAGGGAACUUGAGAUAGCUGCUUCUCACGUCUUCACUCCAGCAAACUUCUAUAUGUUGCAGGCUGAUCUUAGGAAAAUUGGUGGCAUGGAGAUUGUAGAAAUAAAGCUCGGAGACGGAUCACAGCAGUACAUCGUGGCCUGGAAGAAUAACCGGAAGAGCCGUUUUUGGGUGGAGUACACUCCAGUAAAUUCCGCAGAAACUAUAAGGUGCAGCUGCAGAAGAAUGAUUCGAAAGGGUCUACCUUGCAAGCACAUAUUCCAUGUACUGAAGUACUUGAAUAUAUCUGAAAUACCAAAGUGUUUAGUUCUUGUGAGGUUCACGAAAGACGCAAGGUUGUGACUGCCCGCCAGGCGCACAAGCGAUCUGUUGGUAUUUGGAUGGACUGGAGCAGCUGAAAGAAUGAAAUAUAGCCAGGUCAGUGUGUUGGCUUCAGAAGCUAUGCAUGCAGCAUGCAAACACCCAACUUUGUGGGAUCAGUUACAUGAGAGUUUGAAGACCGUGAUAGCUAAGAGCCAUGAGUAUGAUCAGCUAAAGGAAAAUUUGAGUAAGAAAACGACUAAUCUUAAUACUUGUGCAAUUGAAUAUGUAGACGAUGGUGAAGGCAACAUAGUUGAAGUUCAUGAUCCUAUUAAAGUAUCAACGAAAGGUGCAACUAAGGUAGAUGAGAACCGCCCUAUGUUGAAAAAUGGUAGGCCACUUUCGUACGACGAGAUCAGAAUCAGGUGCGGCGCAUGCAAAUUGCUAGGGCACACUAAACGCAGCAAGAAAUGCAAACUAAAUAAGAAGUAAGUUUUUGUAUGCAUUGUAGGUUAUAAUUGUUUUUAACUUGUCAUUCAUUAACUUUUCCUGUUAUCGUGUGCAGAAGCGUGGUGGGCGAACAAGAGUAGAACAGUUGCUAAAGUUAUGUUAGGAUGAAUCCAGUGAUCUAAUAGUCAGGUGUUUACAAUGUGUUACUGCAUACAUGAUACAUGAUAUAUACUAUUGCAAGAGGCCAGUACCUUGAGAGAGUGCUUGUAGCAUAUAUGGACUAAACAGGAGGCGGUCACUAGGGACUUUAAUCAUGGAAAAUGGAUAGCAUUUUAGCCAAUGUAAUGAUGACAUCUUUUGUGUUGUCCACUGUAGUUAUAUUAUAUUAGAAAACUAGCCGAUACCCGACAUGUUGUUGCGGGAAUGUUUUGCAAUAUAUUCAUAGAGAAAUGGUUACGUGUAACAUGUAUAUGUUGUUGCGGGAAUAUUUUGUUUGCAUGUUGUGGUGGACCUUUCUCCAUACAUGUUGAAUGACGAGGUGGCAAACUUGCAUGUUAAGAGAAAUAGGUUAGUGGUGGCUAGUUGUUUAGAUAUAGAAGAUGUAAUUAUGUGUGAUAAUAAUUGAAAAAAAUUCACUCCUUUGGUUCACCACCAUUUAGAUAUAGAAGAUACCAGCUCACUUUGGUCUAUAGUAUAGACUUCGUACCAAAAACCCACCAUUUUCCCCUCAUAAAGAAAAGAAAAACCCACCAUUUUAUGGCUUGUAGUGUAACUCGGGCCGCUUGUCGCGAUGACGUGUAGGGGGGGUGACGGAUGCCGUUAGACGGCACGACACACGGCCGCUCCCGUUGCCGGGCCCAUUUAACAAUUUUUAUUUUGAUUACAGCCCAUUUAAAUGGGCCGCGCUGGCCACCUGGUCGGGGCGGUUCUUCCCUCGCGAUCUCCACGCGCGUUCUAUCUAUCCACUGCGACCGCCGCCGCCGCCACCGAUCCACGUCUUGCCGCCGGUCACGUUACGCCAUGGUUUCGUGGAGCGACGAGUCGAGCUCUUCUUCGGAUGGCCAGUCCGUGACUAGCCUGCAGGUACGCUCCUACUAUAUAAUCUCCAAAUAGUGCUAGGCUUAGGGUUGGGGUUCUUCAUUUCCGGUAUUUAACGCAGGGCGUUGAUUUGUGCAUUAUCUCUGUUGUUUCGUUUAGCUUCCUACGACUAUCCCUUGCUAUGAAUGGAGUGGCAUUGCUCACGAUCUGUCUUCUCGUUGUCUGCAUCGAGAACCUUGCGUCAGGCUAGUUGCUUUUGAUUCCUUGGACAGUGGCAGACGUUUUCUUGCCUGUGGUCAGAAGGUAUGUUGUUCCGUACUGUAAAUAUAUGUUAAAUUACCUCGUGCUCGAUUUACUUCGCGGUAAUCCAUUGUUCUGCCCAAAAUUGCAUACAAUUUCAAUUAAUUUGUGCAUUUACAAAGUCCGUAUUUAUGUUUUUUUUACGGUCUAAUAUUUGUUUUAGCACAUAAUAGCAUAUACUUGUAGUUAAUUGAUCCAUGUAUAUAUAUAUAUGUAUAUCAUUGCAUGCUACAUUUUGUGUUUAUAUGAUUGAGACCAUAUUUUUAGUGCAUUGCAUGUAAUUGUAUUGCAUUUGUGCAUAUAUGAUUGAGACCAUAUUUUUUCAUAUUGUAGGAAGAAGUGAAAUGUAACUAUGUGAAAUGGGUAGACCCGGAGUGGUCGGUGGCUACGAAGUUCUGCCUGAGAGAACUGUGGAGCAUGUAUGACGAGAAGCUGAGACAUAAUAUUAAGAAUGCUGAAGAAAAAUGCAUGUUAAUUGGAGAAAAGAGGAGGACGGAGGAAGAGCUGAGAUUUUUCAAAAUGGACUUUGCUAAACUGGUGGCUGAUAAGGAGGAUGCUCUCACGUAGUUGGGCAAUGCAAGAUUGUCACUUAGCGAUCUCAAAGAGGAGCUGGAGAAGAAUAAGAUGGCAGACCAUGGUUGUGCCAAUCUACAUCAGGUCCUGAGGGUAAAGGCUGAGAAAGACCGGGACCGGGUGGUGCUAGAGAGAGAUCAAGUGAUGAGAGAGAGGGACCAGCUGAAGCAAGAGAAAAAAAACUUGAGUAUAUUAUUGCAGAUUUUCUCAAACAGAAACAUGGGUACGUUGAUAAGAUCAAGAAGCUGAAGGAGAUUUGUGAUGAAUUUUAAGUAUGUUUUGUGGUUUAUUGUUGAGCAGAAUGAUCAAGUCCUAUCUGCAUUGUGGCCAGUUCAUUUGUGUAAGGUCUAAGUAUAUUAUAUUAACCAAUAAAUUAUAUCACUUUCGAAAUAGUUUGCCCUUGUUUGACCUGCAUCCUAAUGCGGGUUCUCGGCUAAGCACUGAAAUUCUUUUGCUUCCAUCGGAGCUCUAAAUCGUACUGAUCAAGGGGGCGAAAUAGUAGUUGAUCAUGUGAUUGAUGGUGCUACUGAUCCUGAUCUUCAAGAUGCAUAAAAGCAAAAGGCUAACAAAAAUGCAGCAAAAAAAACUGUGCAAUGUGAUUUCAAGCAACACAUAACGCCAGGGGAGUCUGGCGCAAGACACGAGGAAGAUCCACCUGCGGACGCCGAUCCCGAGAGAUCCAGCGGCAAUCAUGCGCACGGGAUCCCAGGCGGAUCUGCCUACUCCACCAAUCGCAGGAUCCACGGGUGGCCCGUCUGCGUCCGACACAUGGGCUGUCUCCACCGAGCGGUCGGGCGGAACCGGACCUGGCGCGUCCCCCCGCGCGAACUGGCGCACGUCGACUGGGUCGCCCGCGCGGGGACCGGAUCUGUCGUUGUCUCGGGCGUGGGAUCCCACACCGGAUGGCACGACAGCCGAGGUUGAUUCUCAGGCAAACAAAAAGGAAUUUAUCAAUUUUUUUUCUUAUUGUUGAAUAAUGCCAAAUCAAAUCAAAAAAAUAUGCAAAAGUAGAAAAGAAAUGAAUUACUCUUCCAUGACAGAAAAGAAUGAACACAGCAGCAAAAAACAUUAAGGUAGAACAAAUGAAGGGAAGCAAAAAUUUAUUGGUACGAAACGUAUAGUCUGACUGCAUUACACACACACAAGUAUGUGUGAGCGACCAAAAAUCCACACAAAAUCCAUGGUAUCGUGCUUAUUACAUGAAUGAUAGAAAAUCAAAGUUGUCCAUGCCGGGAAACGUGCUUCCGGACUUAAAACAAACGACUAAAUCUUGAAUCUUGAAUCAUGUAUGAUGCCUUCACGCCUUGCUUUUCUUUGCGAUGUCGCGGAUUUUGUUCUUCACACAUUCGAGCGUGUUGGUAGGUGAGAGAACCAACUCGGCGACGAGACGCCUUCUCCUUGCAUUAACCGUGCCCUGCAAUUUUUAGAACAAGGUUUAAUGAAUAGAAGUUGGUAUUAUAUGACAAUUGUACAAGUGUACAAACAGAGAGGACAAAUUACCUGGGUAAAAUCGGUGGUCCAUCGGUCCCCGUCCCAACGCUCUAUAACUUCAAUCACAAAAAGGCCACAAGAGUUCCUGAUAUAUAUGCAAACAUUAGUCACCGUGCACACGAACAUGUCUUUCGUAAGUAGAAAAUGAUGAACCAUAACUCACCCGUCCUCUUGUAGUUGCAUGUCGAUCUGAGGUAUGAUAGGCCACUUAGUGACAUCUGGAUAUUUGCCAGGUGUAAUACGGUUUGCCUCUUCCAUAUCAAUUGCUAUUGCUAGUCGCUAUUUGAAAGAAAGUAGUAGUGAGAAACCAUAUGACAUUUCAUAUGAAGAAUGCUCAAUGUUGGGGAGAGUACCAGUGCUUUCACAGUGUCGAGAGAGAACUCGAGAGCAUAGAGCGAAUCAAAAACUCGGAAUUCUUUCUUGAGGUUGUGCAUCACCACGGUGAUCCAGUGUGUAUUGCCGACGUUCAACGGGAUAAACGACUAAAAUGUGGAACACAUUUGUAAUCAGAUGCAAUUAUGCUUGUUGAAAUGAGUGUUAAUAAACUAGUAAGAACAUAUUGUACCUUAUCACAGACGGUAUACUCGUCCAGAACCCUACGUACUGCUCCAGCUCUGCUCAGCGCACUAUCCAUGUUGUAGUUCGACGGUUUAGGGUUGUAUCGUGCCUUAGCACGAUCAACAAGGUAGUUGGACCUCCAGGCUGGACAGAGGUGCCGAUCAUGACCAACGCGCAGAGCCAAAUGUGUCUGAUAAGCAUCGAUAAUCUGCGUAAAAUAAUAGAACAUUUUAUUUUCAUAGGUGACACCUAGAUUAUGCACUUAAAUAGUAGGACAUGGUAAUAGAUCUUACGUCAUCCGCCAGCCAUGUAUGCUCAAGUACCGGUCGUAUACUCUCCACAGUCACAGAGGUGCCACGUUCAUUGUAGUAAACUCUUUUUGUCAUAUUCUUCUCACACCGAGCAGCUGCCUCCACAAACGCAACAGCAGCAUCGAUGAGUUCCAGUGUCAAAUCGUCCUUAACAGAGCCUUCCAUGUCAUUGUCACUAAACAGAGCUGCAUGAUAAAUUACGAACGUCACGAACGGUGAGUACAUGAAAUGGUAGUAAAUUAAGCACUAAGAUAGCUACUAACGGUACCUCUAGUUGCGGUAGUGUUGCCGGAUGGCUUAGUUCCGCGAGCGCUUCGCUUGCCGGGCUUGUCAAGUUUAAAGGGGGAUUCAAAUUUCUUGGGAACAGUCCGUCGGCGCUUCCCGGAUAUAACAUCGUCUUCUUUUGCGGUUGCUGCAGACUUUUUCCCCUUGCUCUUACCCACCAUCCUGUCGAUAGAACUUGCAAAAAUGUCAAUGUCGGACGAUUCUGCUCGAGGAGAAUUACCUACAAUCCAAGGGUUCUCCGGUGUUGCGCCGCACUCAUCAGUAGGCUUCGUUGUCUUGUCAACAUUUAACUUGGCAGGUGUUUUCUAGUUAACAAAGAAAUAAUGUGAUAGGUUCAGUUAACAAAAAUGAAGAUGCAUAAUUGAGAUAAAUGAAGACAAAUAAAUGAAAACAUACUUCCUCAUCAUCGUUGUUCUGGUUUACAACAGGCUCGUCAGGCUGUGUCAAAUCAAUCACCGGCUCUAGACCGUCAGAGUCAUCCUUGUACAUGAAUUCUUUUUUUUUCUAGCGGACCAUUCUCAAAGGAAUCCACUUCUAGGUCGGCAUCGUUCUUGCCGGAAGCCGCAGCAGCCGCUGGCUUGUACAUCACACCAUUUUGGUUCAACUUCUCUAACAAUCUCUGCAUUACAUAAAAAAUAUUAAUUAAUGUCGGCACGGUUUUGCAACUUCAAAAAUGUUGUAAACAUAGAAUUAAGGGUGUGUCACCUCGGCUACUUGUUCCGGUAUUUCCUUCAUUUGGCUGCGUAUGUAAUCCAUACACCGCUUCAUGAUGAGGUUCAUCAUCUCGUCCGCGUUUGAGGCUAACUUGGACUUCUUUGCCGCACCAACGGCGGGCUUCAUUUUUGGCUUUUCUGGUUCGGGUACUUUGCGCUCCUGCGCCCUAUACUCCUUGGUUAUGUUGUCUUCAAUCUGCAUGUGAAAUACAAGUAUAUGUGAUCAAUAAAAAUAUUCAUACAACUAAUUAUGUUAUAUAAAAGAUUUAAGAAGUACCCAACGUAAUGAAUUACCUUGAUGUUACCACGGCCACGGCCGUGGUCAUAAUCAAACUUGUCUCUCCUUGAGGCUGCAGCUUCAGUCCAAUUCCUCAUUAGAGGUUCCAUGGACAAGCUAGGAUUGAAUGCACAUUCACCUUCCAGAGGCUGAACCUUCUCCCAGUACAGGUACUGCAUCAAUAUGAAAAAUUACAAUUAGUACUAUACAGCAGGUAAAUUAGCAAUCAUAUUUUUUUGCAAUGGUACAAGUCUGAAAGGUGUACCUGCAGGAGAGCUAAGUACCCUCUCGGCCAUUGGCGGAGGUGUUUGCCUUUCCUCACGUUGCGAAGGCAGUCCAGCAGAACCCGGAGGGUGAAUGCAUUCCAAUUAAUCUUGGAUAUACGCUUCACAUCGUCCACCAAUGCGUAAUAUUGCUUUGGUACAGUCUUGCUUGACAUGGGAGCAAGAACUGUUCCAAGCAACACGAGGACAAUUCUCCGAAGGAAAUCGUCGUCGGCGGAUUUAUUUUUUGUGAUGUCCACAAUCAGAUCAUCGAUGACUAUGUUACCUGUGGUCUUGCUCAGGAAUUGAGGCGGCACUCGAUCUUUAACAUCCUCACCGAGAAUACCUUCUGCCGACAGUCCGUGGUUCUCCAAGGCCAAGAUGCACUCAACAUCCACGGCACCGAGAGACACUUCGCCAACCAAGUCUUGUACAAUGAAUCUGCCCUUGCUAGGAUCAAAAAUCUCAACCAUGUACCGGAUCAACAGUGUACGCAUCUUCAGCGAAGGUAUCUCAAGCAUGCUAUGGAGUGUUGUUUUGGCAAGUGCGGCCCGUUGACCGGAAGAUAGACCGGCAAUAAGUUUGCACCAUUUUUCUACGGCGCAAACAAUUUCUCCGUUGAGUUCAUCCAUCCUGUUAAUAUACUUGGUUAUAGUACCAUAAAUUAUGUAAUCAACUUUUUUCCUAACAUAUUGUUGCAUAAAACAUAAUAAUGGAAUACACUAUCCCAUAGUAGAUAGAAAACUAUACAACAUAAUUUAUUCAUACUGAAACAUUCAGCAGAGACACGUGCAGCACAUAAAAUAACAGUUUAACAAGUACUUAUUUAACCAAUUAGUUUCAUAAUAAAAAGCAACAUAAUUUAUCUAAUCAUUUAUUUUCAUAUGGUACUGUACAAAUAGAUAUAAGAAUCGGUGACAGUGCCUAAUUAACAGUAAAUCGAAAAGAAAAAAAAACGAAAUUAUGCAUACUGGAACAUGCAUCAAACAAACGUGCAACACAUACAAUAUUAGUCGGCGUCUCAUAGUUGCAACAUGCAUGUCUUAGGGCAUUGCUAUAACUUAAAGUGACUAUGCUAUAACUAACGCUGAUUAAAAAUUGUUGUUUAUUCAUCAAUCCAACCUACAAGUGAAAGAUAACAAACAACAUGCAGAAACUAAUUUGCAAUCGUAUGGCUAUCUAAUCUAAUACACGCACAAACAAAUCUAGUGUCAUAGGCCUAUCUAAUCUAAUACACGCACAAACAAAAAACAUCUACUCCAACAGAUGUAAUGCGAAGAUUAGCGCUAAUUAAUCUUAGUCCUAUCAAAUCUAACACACGCACAAAGAAAAGCAUCAUGGAUGCGGUACGGUUGCCAACAUACUGGAUCGCUCGAUGAAGAUGGAAGUUGUCGGCAUUGUAACGUGGACGCAGUUCGUCCACGACGGCCAGCACGCGCUGACGAUCUUGCUGGGGUUGGGCCGAUGCUAGGGACGCAGCUGUCGUCGACUCGGCGGUAGGAGCCGUCGUAGACGACAUGAAAGACGAUGCCGAGACUAUAUAGGAGGAGGAGGAUCUCCUAGGUCGUCGUAACCACCAGGGAAAGAACGCCCGUGAUCUUUGCCUUCCUUGGUUGAGGAGAGGCAGUACGUGCUCCUAAAUUAAAGGGAUAGGCUUCCCACGCUCGAGUUUUUUUUGUAGAUUCCAAUCCGGGAAUUGUGUAACAAAUCGCAGCUGCUCCUCUCUUUGAGCGACGAGGGGCUCGUUUAAUGUACUUUUUUCUUUUCUUUUUCAUAUUAGAAAAUUUUGAUAUCAAAUAAUUAUUUCAACUCAACCAAAUGGCCCCAAUUUUUUUUCGCACAAUGGGAUGACCAUGGACAUCAUGCCUCAAUUCUCAUCGAUUUCUGACACUCGAUGCAUUUACUAGGACUUUGCCGGCGAAAAGAACCCGAAACGCUGCCCGGACCUGACGCAACGUUCGUUCGGUGUCAGGAAUGGCUCACAUGUUGCAUGGGGGCCUACAUUGGGCAUCCUCACAUGGUGCCAAAGUUUGGUGUCAUUUCAUGCAGGCCAGCACAUAGCACACAUGCAAUCACCAUCAUUCGGGUCUGCCAGAGGGGGAGCCCGAAGGACGUUGUUUUUCUGGACUCAACCAAAUGGCCCCAAAUUUUUUUCACACAAUGGGANNNNNNNNNNNNNNNNNNNNNNNNNNNNNNNNNNNNNNNNNNNNNNNNNNNNNNNNNNNNNNNNNNNNNNNNNNNNNNNNNNNNNNNNNNNNNNNNNNNNNNNNNNNNNNNNNNNNNNNNNNNNNNNNNNNNNNNNNNNNNNNNNNNNNNNNNNNNNNNNNNNNNNNNNNNNNNNNNNNNNNNNNNNNNNNNNNNNNNNAUGGGGGCCUACAUUGGGCUUCCUCACAUGGUGCCAAAGUUUGGUGUCAUUUCAUGCAGGCCAGCACAUAGCACAUGUGCAAUCACCAUCAUUCGGGUCUACCGUAGGGGGAGCCCGAAGGACGUUGUUUUUCUGGACUCAACCAAAUGGCCCCAAAUUUUUUUCACACAACGGGAUGACCGUGGACAUCAUGCAUGCCAAUUCUCAUCGAUUUCUGACACUCGAUGCAUUUACUAGGAUUUUAAAAAACAAUUCAAAUAUAAAAAAGAUAAGAUCUAUUAGAAUGAAGAAGUGAAAUAAAAGAUAACAUAUUAUCUUACAUUUUGAAAAUAUUUCAAAUAUAAAGAAGAGAGAAAAUAUUAGAAUGAAGAAGUGAAAUAAAACAGAACAUUUUAUUUUACAAACUAAAAACAUUUCAAUUAUAAUAAAGAUAAGAAAUAUUAGAAUGAAGAAUUGAAAUAAAACACACCAUUUUAGUUUAUAUUUCAUAAAUAUUAUCAAUAUAAAAACGAGAACGAACAAAUGAAAUAAAACACAACAAAAUUUGGCAUANNNNNNNNNNNNNNNNNNNNNNNNNNNNNNNNNNNNNNNNNNNNNNNNNNNNNNNNNNNNNNNNNNNNNNNNNNNNNNNNNNNNNNNNNNNNNNNNNNNNNNNNNNNNNNNNNNNNNNNNNNNNNNNNNNNNNNNNNNNNNNNNNNNNNNNNNNNNNNNNNNNNNNNNNNNNNNNNNNNNNNNNNNNNNNNNNNNNNNNNNNNNNNNNNNNNNNNNNNNNNNNNNNNNNNNNNNNNNNNNNNNNNNNNNNNNNNNNNNNNNNNNNNNNNNNNNNNNNNNNNNNNNNNNNNNNNNNNNNNNNNNNNNNNNNNNNNNNNNNNNNNNNNNNNNNNNNNNNNNNNNNNNNNNNNNNNNNNNNNNNNNNNNNNNNNNNNNNNNNNNNNNNNNNNNNNNNNNNNNNNNNNNNNNNNNNNNNNNNNNNNNNNNNNNNNNNNNNNNNNNNNNNNNNNNNNNNNNNNNNNNNNNNNNNNNNNNNNNNNNNNNNNNNNNNNNNNNNNNNNNNNNNNNNNNNNNNNNNNNNNNNNNNNNNNNNNNNNNNNNNNNNNNNNNNNNNNNNNNGGGUCUGCCGGAGGGGGAGCCCGAAGGAUGUUGUUUUUCUGGACUCAACCAAAUGGCCCCAAAUUGUUUUCACACAAUGGAAUGACCAUGGACAUCAUGCAUGCAAUUCUCAUCGAUUUCCGACACUCGAUGCAUUUACUAGGAUUUUGCCGGCGAAAAGAACCCGAAACGCUGCCCGGACGUGACGCAAUGUUCGUUCGGUGUCCGGAAUGGCCCAGAUGUUGCAUGGGGGCCUACAUUGGGCAUCCACACAUGGUGCCAAACUUUGGUGUCAUUUCAUGCAGGCCAGCACAUAGCACAUGUGCAAUCACCAUCAUUCGGGUCUGCCGGAGGGGGAGCCCGAAGGACGUUGUUUUUCUAGAGUCAACCAAAUGGAAUUUUGAAAAUAGAAUGAAAAUUGUAUUUAAGAAGUGAAACAGAAGACAACAUACAUUGAUGGAAUUUUGAUUUUUAUAACUAUAAUAAGAAAUAAAAUACAAAACAUAUACUUCAAUUUUAAAACUCUAAGAAGAAAUAACAUAGAAAAAAUAUAUUUGAUAUACCUUUUUUGAAAUAGAAAACCGAAAAAUAUAUUAUAAUAAGGAUGAAACAUAUUAUAUUGCAUUUUUUGAAUUUUAACAGUGUGAGAAUAACUGAAAGAGUAAAAAUAUAUUAGAUUUUAAAUUAUUCUACAUAUAAAAAGAAAAUAAAUAUUUGAUUGAAUAAGUGAAAUAUAAGACAUUAAUUUUUCGUACACAUUGAAUAAGUGAAAUAUAACACAUUGAAGCAGCUCGGUUUUAAAUGUGGUAAUAAUCUGCGCGCGGGUGAGGCUGGCCUGGGACGGCCCACCCGAAUUAGGCCCAAGCGAGCGUCGCGCCGGGCACAUCCCAGCGGUGCUCGGAGUUUAGUCCCACCUCGCCAAGCGAGGGGAGCUCGCACCGGUUUAUAUACCGGGCUGAGCUUCCCUUUUCAAGUUCCUUUCUAAAGCGGGCAGCACAUUGCCUAACCCUGUCCGUCCCUCCCAGUGGGGCCUACUAGCUGCCUAUUAUCACAAUCUGGCGGGCCUGCAUCCUGGGCCAUUAAAUGAUUGGGUUGCUAGUCGUAUGCUGGCCGUUGAAUUGUGUAGUAUGCAGCUAGUAGGCUGGCUUUUUUUGUCAUAUUUCACUUUUUGCAUUUGUCACAAUUAUUUGUUGUUCUUCAAAUCACCUCAUAAAAGAAUAUAACACAAUAAUUUUUCGCACAUUCAUGAAUUUUCUAACUGUCAGAACAAAUAAUACAGAAAAAUAUAUAUGUUAUUCAAAAUUAUUUCAAAGAUAAAACUAAAAAGAAA